UUCUUUAAAUGAGGACUAGUAUCAAUGGCAUCACGAGGAUCCUACUGUCUCCCCCCUCUAAUCAGUGAAACUGAUCUCUCCGUGAAGAAGNGGGGAUAUACAUNUAAGACGAGAAGACCCCAUGGAGCUUUAAACCCGACAGCACCCGCUUAUUUUAAGCCCAAUUA
RNAcentral lists this ribosomal RNA (167 nucleotides) under Boophis obscurus. RNAcentral describes it as "partial 16S ribosomal RNA". The record is from RNAcentral. Lineage: Eukaryota; Metazoa; Chordata; Amphibia; Anura; Mantellidae.